GCGGACAGAUGGGAGCUUGCUCCCUGAUGUUAGCGGCGGACGGGUGAGUAACACGUGGGUAACCUGCCUGUAAGACUGGGAUAACUCCGGGAAACCGGGGCUAAUACCGGAUGGUUGUUUGAACCGCAUGGUUCAAACAUAAAAGGUGGCUUCGGCUACCACUUACAGAUGGACCCGCGGCGCAUUAGCUAGUUGGUGAGGUAAUGGCUCACCAAGGCAACGAUGCGUAGCCGACCUGAGAGGGUGAUCGGCCACACUGGGACUGAGACACGGCCCAGACUCCUACGGGAGGCAGCAGUAGGGAAUCUUCCGCAAUGGACGAAAGUCUGACGGAGCAACGCCGCGUGAGUGAUGAAGGUUUUCGGAUCGUAAAGCUCUGUUGUUAGGGAAGAACAAGUACCGUUCGAAUAGGGCGGUACCUUGACGGUACCUAACCAGAAAGCCACGGCUAACUACGUGCCAGCAGCCGCGGUAAUACGUAGGUGGCAAGCGUUGUCCGGAAUUAUUGGGCGUAAAGGGCUCGCAGGCGGUUUCUUAAGUCUGAUGUGAAAGCCCCCGGCUCAACCGGGGAGGGUCAUUGGAAACUGGGGAACUUGAGUGCAGAAGAGGAGAGUGGAAUUCCACGUGUAGCGGUGAAAUGCGUAGAGAUGUGGAGGAACACCAGUGGCGAAGGCGACUCUCUGGUCUGUAACUGACGCUGAGGAGCGAAAGCGUGGGGAGCGAACAGGAUUAGAUACCCUGGUAGUCCACGCCGUAAACGAUGAGUGCUAAGUGUUAGGGGGUUUCCGCCCCUUAGUGCUGCAGCUAACGCAUUAAGCACUCCGCCUGGGGAGUACGGUCGCAAGACUGAAACUCAAAGGAAUUGACGGGGGCCCGCACAACCGGUGGAGCAUGUGGUUUAAUUCGAAGCAACGCGAAGAACCUUACCAGGUCUUGACAUCCUCUGACAAUCCUAGAGAUAGGACGUCCCCUUCGGGGGCAGAGUGACAGGUGGUGCAUGGUUGUCGUCAGCUCGUGUCGUGAGAUGUUGGGUUAAGUCCCGCAACGAGCGCAACCCUUGAUCUUAGUUGCCAGCAUUCAGUUGGGCACUCUAAGGUGACUGCCGGUGACAAACCGGAGGAAGGUGGGGAUGACGUCAAAUCAUCAUGCCCCUUAUGACCUGGGCUACACACGUGCUACAAUGGACAGAACAAAGGGCAGCGAAACCGCGAGGUUAAGCCAAUCCCACAAAUCUGUUCUCAGUUCGGAUCGCAGUCUGCAACUCGACUGCGUGAAGCUGGAAUCGCUAGUAAUCGCGGAUCAGCAUGCCGCGGUGAAUACGUUCCCGGGCCUUGUACACACCGCCCGUCACACCACGAGAGUUUGUAACACCCG
Molecule: ribosomal RNA, 1374 nt
Filed under: Bacillus tequilensis
Lineage: Bacteria; Bacillati; Bacillota; Bacilli; Caryophanales; Bacillaceae
Description: bacterial SSU rRNA
Rfam family: Bacterial small subunit ribosomal RNA
Source: RNAcentral